RNAcentral lists this transfer RNA (74 nucleotides) under Marinobacter sp. RNAcentral describes it as "tRNA-Val". The record is from RNAcentral. Lineage: Bacteria; Pseudomonadati; Pseudomonadota; Gammaproteobacteria; Pseudomonadales; Marinobacteraceae.
GGGCCUCUAGCUCAAUUGGCGAGAGCGUACAUUUGACUUGUGUAAGGUUCCCAGUUCAAUUCUGGGGAGGCCCA